UACGUAGGGGGCAAGCGUUGUCCGGAAUCAUUGGGCGUAAAGCGCGUGUAGGCGGCCAGAAAAGUCCGCUGUGAAAACUCGAGGCUCAACUUCGAGCUGUCGGUGGAAACUUUCUGGCUAGAGUCCGGAAGAGGAGAAUGGAAUUCCUGGUGUAGCGGUGAAAUGCGCAGAUAUCAGGAAGAACACCCGUGGCGAAGGCGGCUUUCUGGGACGGUACUGACGCUGGAGACGCGAAAGCGUGGGGAGCGAACAGG
This 254-nucleotide ribosomal RNA is filed under the name uncultured bacterium. RNAcentral's name for it is "partial 16S ribosomal RNA". It matches the Rfam family "Bacterial small subunit ribosomal RNA", at positions 524 to 776 of the family's 1533-position model. The record is from RNAcentral.